This 406-nucleotide ribosomal RNA is filed under the name uncultured bacterium. RNAcentral's name for it is "partial 16S ribosomal RNA". It matches the Rfam family "Bacterial small subunit ribosomal RNA", at positions 30 to 526 of the family's 1533-position model. The record is from RNAcentral.
AUUGAACGCUGGCGGCAGGCCUAACACAUGCAAGUCGAGCGAGCGGCGGACGGGUGAGUAAUGUCUGGGCAACUGCCUGAUGGAUGGUGAUAACUACUGGAAACGGUAGCUAAUACCGCAUACCAUCAGAUGUGCCCCGAUGGGAUUAGCUUGUAGGUGGGGUAACGGCUCACCUAGACGACGAUCCCUAGCUGGUCUGAGAGGAUGACCAGCCACACGGGAACUGAGACACGGUCCAGACUCCUACGGGAGGCAGCAGUGGGGAAUAUUGCACAAUGGGCGCAAGCCUGAUGCAGCCAUGCCGCGUGGAUGAAGAAGGCCUUCGGGUUGUAAAGCACUUUCAGCGGGGAGGCGUUACUCGCAGAAGAAGCACCGGCUAACUCCGUGCCAGCCGCCGCGGUAAUAC